AGCUGCUGAAACAGGAAGUAGUGAAAAAAGAGACCUGGCUGCCAAAGCAAAACAAGGAAGUGUGGGCAGCUGUGAAUGUGCAGGCUCCUCCAAAACCAACUUCCUAGUGGCCUGUACCACAUCCUGUUUCCCUCUGUCAUGGAUGCGUCAGGGGGAUGCUGGGAUGGCUGUCGGAAUGAGGAAGAUCUGCCUCAGAUGGAUGGCACAUGUGAUGCUUGUGAACCAGAUGAGCCUCAGCCAGCAGCUCAGGUUUGCACACGUUGUAGCUUUGCCUUCUGCAUCAGCCAUGCGGGCAAACAUUUACAAAGCACUGGUCACCAGCUCCAGCUGUACUGUCCCCCAGACCCUCAGCCACUGACAGACAGUCAGCGGGCUGAAAUCAGAGCAGACAGGGCAGAAGCUGCCGCAGGUGAGGACGAUCAACUGAAGGGGAAACGAGACACGGUGACGGUGGAAAGGCUGAAGUGUAAGCAGCACGGACAGGAGGGCUCGCUCUACUGUAAAAAUGAUGAGCGGAUCAUUUGUGUGGUGUGCGCUGUACAGGGAGAACACAGAGAACAUGAGAUCAUCACUCUCAAAGAUGCUUACCUGUGGCAGAAGAGCAAAGAAGGCAUUGACCUACUGGAACACACUCAAGAAAUAGCCGAGAAGAUCAAGGCAAAAUGGACAAGCCCUGAUUGUUUGUGGGUGUUUCAGAUGAGUACAGAUGAGCUAGAGCAGUACGUGAACCAGCAGUUUGAUGAGCUGCACAGGCUGGUCCGGCUCGAGGAGUGGCGCGUGCUGCACCUGGUGGAUCUUAAGGAGGCAUUCCUUACCGCACAGGCAGCUGAGAAGAUCUCUGAGAUCAGCGUUCACACUGAACGACUACAGGAGGAGAUGGACUCCAUCACACAGCAGCUGGGCGAACUGGAUCGGGCCGAGCAGGAUGGAGUCGCCCCCAUGUCCCUGGCCCCAAUGCUGGCUGCCAGACCACCACCUCCUCCUGCAGCUCUCGUGGAGCACAGACCAUUGUAUUCAUGAAGCAGUUAGUGAGAAAUACCCGGAUGACCUUCAAUUUCCAGUGAGAUUCUGAAGUGUGGAUCUACUGGACACUUUACGAUCCCAUAAUCCCUUGGGAGCUGAAGCAACGCCAUGUUUUGGAUUUAAAAGAACUGAGGAUCCUGAAGUGAGGCUAAGGUAAGAAAACUGUAAUUGUGGUUUGGAUUCUUCCGAGUGUAAACGUCUUUUUCAUGUGGUCAUUAUGUUGUUUAUAUUUCACAUUGAAGGAAAUUGGAAACCUAAAAGUAGAAUUUGUGAGCGUUCUUUCCACUUUCAGAGCUGCCAAUCAAAGGAGGGACCCUCAAAAUUCUUCAGUAGAUGAAGAGAGAGAAGAUGCUUAUAUGGGACAUGCACCCUAAUGGACAUUCUGUCACCACCUCUGCCAUUCUCCUUUAAACCUCAUGGGAUAGAAGAUUCAAACUGAAUGCAACUUUGUUGAUGUCAUAGUAUCAUCAACCAAUGAUCUGAAUACUUUGGACUGCUGUAUUUUACCUUGAAAUUAUUGUUUUCUUUUUUCUAAGAAGGUCAUGAAAUUAAUGCAGCAAAUUAAAAUCAAGCUCUGCCUCUGCCUUAUGUAUAACCGAAGACUUGCAUCUGGAAAUGCUGGGAAGCUGAGCUGGUUGAUUUAUUGUUGUUGUUUUUUAUGAAUGAAUUGUAUGUUCUCUGCUUGAUUAUUUUGCUUUGUGUGGGACACACUACUUUUGGUCAACAAAAUGUUAAAAAUAAUUUGAUAGGUUUUUGUUUAUUUACCUAUCCUUUUUUCUCAUUGUUCUUCAUACAUUUGUAUAUAAUAAUUCUUAAUAUAUAACACUGAUAGAGGGUAUUAAUUGCAUUAAACAAAUUGUAUUGCUUGAUACAUGAAAUGCUGUCUAAUACCCUGCAAAAUCACCAUCACACCAUAAUGUUGCCACAUGCUAUUCUUUGAUUUUAUUUGAGGUUAAACAUAGUAGAUGAUGUGAUGUUAGGAGUAGUCUAGUUCAUUGUUUGGUGUAUUGUUUCUAGAUUUCCUGGCUACUUUUUCUUUAUUCAGACAUCAGACAAAAUUAACAUCAAGGGAUAUUUUCCUCUGUCGCUAAUGACAAGUGUACAGUGCUGCAAAAACAGGGUAUGUAACAGAUGCAAUGAAUAGAGGUGCAAGAUGUCAGCCUGGAGCUGUGUUGAACCAACAACAGUUACAAAUCUUGAGUUUUUCUGGUAUUAGUUUGUCUGUGCAAAUGAGUCUGAAUUGGCAUAUAUGCUUUUACCAUAAUUGUAGUGACCAGUGAUCAAUUUAUUUUAUUUAUUUAUUUUUUAGCCAUCUUGGUGUUUUUCCACAAUAGUAAAUCUCUCUUUGAUGACUAAAGACUGUUUUACUCAGGGAAUAAAAUGGGAAACAUUGCAUUAUUUUAUCAUUGUAGUGCACUGUUUUUAUGAGGCUGUAAUCAUAUUCUCCAGCAUUUGCUUUUUUAACCAUUUAUGGUGUUAUUCAUCUUUUCUGUUU
This is an RNA transcript of Myxocyprinus asiaticus (Chinese sucker), 2518 nucleotides long. It is a transcript of the gene named tripartite motif-containing protein 44-like, with no coding region annotated. Lineage: Eukaryota; Metazoa; Chordata; Actinopteri; Cypriniformes; Catostomidae. The transcript has 6 exons. The record is from RefSeq and is a predicted model, not a curated record.